Long non-coding RNA from Mustela putorius furo (domestic ferret), 1211 nucleotides. Lineage: Eukaryota; Metazoa; Chordata; Mammalia; Carnivora; Mustelidae. The record is from Ensembl.
AGACGGCGAGGGCGAGAAUGUCCUUGGGCUGGACUGGGGAAGUCCUGGCCCUUUAAACUCAAGGGGGAGGAUCCGGAAGUGGAUGGGCGGGGCAAAGGGCUCUGGUUUAUAAAGGGGCCCAGCCGCGCGGGGUCUCCAAUCUGCCAUUUUCUGUCCCUGAAUAGGUCUCUGGCGUCCCCAAUUCCCUGUUUUCCUCACAGACUCUAUUCCGCCCGUUGGUCCACCACCUCAGGGGAACGAUGGCCGCAGAGUCCACAGCCACUGCCGCCAUCGCUGCGGAGCUGGUUUCCGCCGACAAGAUUGAAGAAGAUGCUCCUGCUCCUUCUACCUCUGCAAAUAAAGUUGAGAGGUAAGAUUAUUUACAGAGUACAGUUAGAUUUAUGUCUGGAACAUAAACUAAGAACUAUAUAAUUUAAGGGCAAUAUUACUUUUAUUUAUUAAAGAUCUUAUUUGUUUGAUAGAGCACAAGCAGGGAAGCAGUGGGCGGAUGGGAGGAAGAAGCAGACUCCCUGCUGAGCAGGGAUCCUGAUGUGAGUCUUGAUCCCAGGAUCCUGGGAUCAUGACUUGAGCCAAAGCCAGACAUUUGACUAACUUGAGCCACCCAGGUGCCCCAAAGGGCAGUAUUAUUUUUAAUAGAUAACAGUUAAGACCGAAUAUUAAGAUACUUGUAUGUAAUUUAAAGUGUGGAAUCCUGAUAAUGAUGUCUUCAGGUUUUUCACAUUUGAUUAAAAUACUAGACUUGAAAGUUAGUUCUGCUCCUUACUUAUUACAUGCCUGGCAAAUGCUAACCUGUUCUUUCUUUGAAUACUUCUACUGACUUAGAUCUCUAUUUUAGAAGGUUGCCACUUUCAAUUUUAUGUUAUUCUAGUUUAAAAGUUUUAAAUUUUAUAUUGGGCCCACAUCUACUUCUGCAUAAACUUCCUUGUCUUGAUAUGACUGUGGUUCUUAACCAGAGGUAAGCUUAAAUGGUUGUCCGAACUAUUUGGAUGCUUAUUCAAAAGGUAGAUUUAUGGGUUGCAUCUCUAGAGAUUUUAUUUGUUAAGCUUAAGAUAGAAUUCAGGCUUGUGUGUUUUUUAGAAAAAACUUCCUGAUAAUUCCUAAGUUCACUUAGGUUGACAAUCACUGUUUUUAUUUUUAUUUUUAAAAAAGAUUUUAUUUAUUUAUUUGACAGAGAUCACAAGUAGGCAGAGAGGCAGGCAGAGAGAGAGAGA